UGAGGAACAUGACCUUCGGCGGGGGAGUAGCCGGCCCAACGGCCGGGUAAUACCGCGUACGACCACAUGGGGACAUCCCCGAGUGGUGAAAGCAGCAAUGCGCCGAUGGAGUGCCUCGCGGCCUAUCAGCUAGUCGGUGAGGUAACGGCCCACGAGGCGACGACGGGUAGCUGGU
RNAcentral lists this ribosomal RNA (175 nucleotides) under uncultured bacterium. RNAcentral's name for it is "partial 16S ribosomal RNA". It matches the Rfam family "Bacterial small subunit ribosomal RNA", at positions 118 to 291 of the family's 1533-position model. The record is from RNAcentral.